This 1346-nucleotide long non-coding RNA is filed under the name Ananas comosus (pineapple). RNAcentral's name for it is "long non-coding RNA (ACOM_LNC029597)". The record is from RNAcentral. Lineage: Eukaryota; Viridiplantae; Streptophyta; Magnoliopsida; Poales; Bromeliaceae.
AAUUAAUAAGUAACGAAAAUAUAAUUUUCCUAGUUUAUUUGUUUUACAUACGACUAAACAAGUAGAAAACGAUCCUUUUAGCAUGAUUUAAAUAAGAAUGUAAUUUGAUUUUACUCUGUAAGCAUCAAAACAGAGGCCGUCAAAUUUGGUAGGUGCCACUUCCUUUCUCCAGAAUCUAACAGGGGACAAAACACCGCUUAUGUGAGAAAUAUUGCAUCAGUGUGACCUGCGAACAUCUUAAAAAAAAUAAAUAAAAUUAUAUGGAUUCUAAUUUGAACUGUAUGUGAAGUAGAUAUGCACAGAUAGAUCCUAUUUGGAUGCGUGGAUAUUCAUUUGGUAUAUCUGUUUGAUAUACUCUAAAAAUAUGUAGGAUUUGGUAGAUAAUGAGUUUGAUCGCUUAUCUAGAAGUAAUACUAUAUUCGGCUUUCAUAUUAUUUUUUUAGAAUAAGAUAAAUUAUUUUGCAGAUAAAAUAUAUCAUCCUACUUAUGUAGUUGUCUAAGAGCUUGAUGUUUGGUAUUCGAUGUCCCAAGUUUAAGCCUUAGUUGCUUCACGCGCGUUUUAGUUGAUCCUCAAACUGUGAAGUUCGUGUCAGUUUGGUUUUCAAACAUUAAUUUAUUAUAAUUUUGACUCAGUCUCACUAGUUGGCUAAUGAUAAUGUGUCAUUAAUGUAACAAUAAUAUAACAGUAUUGUGAUUGAUGAUGUAAGAAUAAUUACUACUAUAUUAGCGAUACAUUAUCAUUCAGCUAAUUAAUAAAAUUGGAUUAUACAAUUUGCUUGCAAUAGUAUAAACACUCUAAGCUAGAAAUUAUAAUAAAUUAAAAUUUGAAAAUCAAAUUGCCACUUAUCUCAAAAUCGAAAACCAUAGUAGUAAUUUAGCCAUGUAUUUGCUAUCUCAUGCUAACUACUCCAUGCUAAAGGUGUUCGUGGAUCGGGUUAGGUUUGAGUAGUUGAUAAACUAUAUUCAUACUCUAAAAAGAAAUUGAUAGGAAAAAAUAUAUAUACCCUAUUCAUUUAAUUUCGGGUCGGGUCCAGAUCUGAAUACUUAAGUUAAUAAUAUACCCGUCAGGUUUAUUUGAGCGGGUCUGAGUAGUGACUAUCCGUAUACUAUCCGCUUAAUAUCAGGUAUGGACCGGAUACAGGUCUGGUCUAGAUCGGAUACGAAUACCGGCCCGUAUGCAUAUAUUUUUUAUAGACUUUACUAAAUAUAAACAAAUCAUAAAUUUCUCAUUACAAAAAACUCGCGUUCUAAUUAGUUGCAUCCAGUCCAAUAAAAUUCGUUCAAAAGAAAUAUUCAAACAGUAAAUAGUUAGAACAAAAAUAGAGUAAAAUAAAAAAAAAAAAUAA